CGCGCUGGGCCAGUAGCCGAGCCGCGGUGACGAACCGGCUCCGCGGUUGCGGUGUUUGCGGUUGCUGUGAUGGCGAUGUGAGGGGGCCCGGGGCGGGAUGGUGCUGACCCGGGUCGGGCCGUCUUCUUGCAGCUGGACAACGAGCUCCUCCGUUCGACAGGCGGGGGAAGAGGCCGAGCCGGGCGAGAGGGUUGAAGAUCAACUGGAUUAUGUAUUUGGUUCUGGAAUCUCAAAGCAGUCCACAAACAAAUUCUUCCUUAUGUUGUCUGUGUCAGGCUGGAGUGCAGUGGUGUGAUCUCAGCUCACUGCAACCUCCUCCUCAAGGGUUCAAGCGAUUCUCCUGCCUCAGCUUCCUGAGUAGCUGGGAUUACAGGCCCGUGCCAUCACACCCAGAUUCGAGUAUUUGCCAAAUUUCUAUGAAGAACUGCUUCAAGAAUUGGGAAGGGUCUGAGAUUUUACCCCACUUGCAAGCUGACAAGUUAGUCUGCCACGGUGCCAUGGAUGUUGGCAGGACAUGAGAGUCAUGGAUCAAGGUCGAGGAUUGUUUAUGCUCAUAGCACUAGCAAGAGUACCAGGUGACACCUGUAUGUGAGUA
This 595-nucleotide long non-coding RNA is filed under the name Homo sapiens (human). Its description in RNAcentral is "non-protein coding lnc-SDHAF4-1:1". Lineage: Eukaryota; Metazoa; Chordata; Mammalia; Primates; Hominidae. The record is from RNAcentral.